CUGGCAAAGACUGCAUAAUCUGGGAAACGUCGCUAUCAGAUUCUUAUAAAUUCAAGAUAGAAUUUCUCAGAAAUGAAUAACUUCCUUCUAGUUUUUUUUUUCUGCUUCUUCUAAACAAUUUAAUUUCAUACGUAAUACUUCUUCUAAAUCAUGUAAUAUUUCUGACUGAACAUUUGUUGCCGCUUCUGAUAGAGACUGUUUGCCUUGGAAUUAAUUUUUGUAGCAGUGCUUUGAUGUUUCGUAUCUUUCGAAUUUUUUUCUGGUUUUCUAUUAAGCAUUCUUCGACCAAAGGAAUAUCUACGCCUGAAGAUGUAUUAUUCAUUGCAUAUAUCGGUAUUCUUGUUGCAAAUGAACAAAUCACACACAGUAUCAUCAUCAUAUUGGAUAAGCAUCCAUAGUCAUGCGAUCUAUCAUCCUGAUUAAAGUCUCUUCAAAGUUAUUCUCAAAAAUACUACCAUUUACCAUUUAUCUUUGGCGUUUCUUUUCACUUUUCCCUCGCGGUCCUUUUCCGCUUUCAAAAUUCAUAUUCUCUCCAAGGUUAUUUUCAACAAAAUUGACUGAUUUAUGUUUUCGGUGCGUUGUAUUCCUUCGACGUAAUUUUCACGAACACUCCUAUCCGCCAUAUAUGUCGAUGGCAGGACCCCUGAUUAAAGUAGGCCAUUUAUAAGGUAAGGUGUUUAAAAUGUACUUAUUAAUUAAUUUUUUGGUUUUUUACAUCAUUUUUAUUAUUUCUAGGAUUGUCAGUUCCUCCAGUUUUUCCCAGGCUGGGAAUUGGGUAUAUCCUCUGUCCUAGGUGUAUUAUGAAAUCUAAGAAUAGCGAAUCUGCCCGCCAUUCUCUGCUUAGAUAUAUCGUCUCCGAAAUUAGAAGGAAAUUCGUCCGCUAUCUACUUUUUGCCUGCUCGGAGCGUAUGGAAGACGAUUUAGUGACGUGACCUGUUCGCCUCGCCGCGCCGCGUUUCUGCUCGCUCCGACAGCAUCUAAGAUGGCGGCGCUCUCCGGUGUCGGCGUUCUUCCUCCGUUAAGUACUUUUCCUCGUAUUUACUAAUCGGUUCCGCUUUCGCGAUUCCUUUUCGCGUUAAUUCAAACUAUGUCACGUGACUAAAAAUAAUUCGCAAAAAACCCGGGUUCCGUGAGAUCGAAAUUCAUGCCCAAAUUUCGAUUAAAAAAUAUUGAAUUAACAUUGAACUAAUCAUAGAAUAAAA
This 1202-nucleotide long non-coding RNA is filed under the name Androctonus crassicauda. Lineage: Eukaryota; Metazoa; Arthropoda; Arachnida; Scorpiones; Buthidae. The record is from RNAcentral.